AGUAAAUAGAUACCCAGGUAGUCCACGCUGUAAACGAUGAGUGCUGGACGUUGGCGGGUUUACCUGCCGGUGUCGCAGCUAAACGCGUUAAGCACUCCGCCUGGGGAGUACGGCCGCAAGGUUAAAACUCAAAGGAAUUGACGGGGGCCCGCACAAGCGGUGGAGCAUGUGGUUUAAUUCGACGCAACGCGCAGAACCUUACCAGCCCUUGACAUGGGCGGACGGGGUCCAGAGAUGGACUCUUUCUCGCAAGAGACCGCUACACAGGUGCUGCAUGGCUGUCGUCAGCUCGUGUCGUGAGAU
This 303-nucleotide ribosomal RNA is filed under the name uncultured bacterium. Its description in RNAcentral is "bacterial SSU rRNA". It matches the Rfam family "Bacterial small subunit ribosomal RNA", at positions 774 to 1073 of the family's 1533-position model. The record is from RNAcentral.